UAGGGAAUUUCGUCAAUGGGCGCAAGCCUGAACGAGCAAUGCCGCGUGAACGAGGAAGGUCUUCGGAUCGUAAAGUUCUGUUGAAGGGGAAAAAGAGCGGAGAGAGGAAAUGCUUUCUGAUUGAUAUUACCCUUCGAGGAAGUCACGGCUAACUACGUGCC
Molecule: ribosomal RNA, 161 nt
Filed under: uncultured bacterium
Lineage: Bacteria
Description: partial 16S ribosomal RNA
Rfam family: Bacterial small subunit ribosomal RNA
Source: RNAcentral